Passer domesticus (house sparrow) is the source of this 3420-nucleotide long non-coding RNA. RefSeq lists it as uncharacterized. The transcript has 3 exons. Lineage: Eukaryota; Metazoa; Chordata; Aves; Passeriformes; Passeridae. The record is from RefSeq and is a predicted model, not a curated record.
AUGCCUUAGAGCACGCCCCUCCUGGGGAAACGGGAACCACGCCCAUGGCAGUCCUGGAAGCGCUGAUCCCCAGCAUUGUGGCACUCAUGCUGGCCACAUGAGCAGAGGUAUCGGAGAACAAAAACAACAUUGUGCCUGCACCCCCUUCUUCUCAGAAGAAGACCUCACUUCUCCUGGAUCCAGUGAUUUCGUCGAUCCAUGGCAGAAGACCCAGCUGACCACGGAUAUACACCUUGCCCCAGUGACCCUAGGAGUUUUCGAAAGAGGUGCACCCUGCCACAAGUUUGGGGGAGUCUAUCAGACUCUCCCAGGACCACCGAUGGUUGCAGGUUGAAAGUGCGAAGACACCAGGAGACUGGAUAAAGAAAAGAGGGGAAGGGGGGUAAAGGACCUCGGUAUUCAGCAAAGAACAUCGCGCCAUAUCUGCAGCCUCUGCAAGAUCGCCAAGAAGCUCUACAGAAGGAACCCCAAGAAGAUCCUGCAGAAAUGACACCUUGAGGCUUGCAAAUAGCAAAUAGCCAUCUCUCACCUCCUAUCUAUUGCUAAUUAAUGGCAUUGUUUUCUUAACCCCUUAAACAUUAUUAAUUUUUUAGUUUAAUCCACAGGUUGUUCCACUGGAAAUGGCUCCUAGGAGACUCCUGCUCUCUAUACCCAUACUGAUUGAUGCCAUGCUCCUUGCUAAGACCUGGGAAGUCCCACAGCCAAAGAAAAAUGUCUGGGUUACAUUAGCUAACAUCACCAAGCAGGAAAACCUGUGUUUGUCAGUAGCCACCCCUGAUAACCCCUCUUCCACCUGCUUAGUUGUGUUACCAACGGAUGUGUGGCCCUUAAACAAGGAUGCCAUCCAUAUUUUGCAUCCCCACAAGGAAUGGAUUCACAAUCCCGUUAAUAACUGGGAUUACUGGGCCAGGAACUUGCUGCACACAUCAUUAGAACCCCAAGAACUAGAAAUUCUAGGCUCUGCAAAAAUGGAUUUUUGUGUUAGAUUUCAUUAUAUCAAAACUACUCCUGAUUCAUUAUAUACUACAUUAAUGCCAAUGCUAUAAGAAAGCAAAUACAUAGUGGGCUGUUUCCCCACAUCAUCCAGUUUAUGAAAAUGAAAGUACCUGGGGUAACUACACCUGUCGUUUCAUGGUCCAGUGAUUCCCCGUUACAGCUACCACCUGGGACAGGUCUCAUUUGUGGAGACAGAGCAUGGCCUGCCAUUUCAUCUUGCAUUAAGGGCAGGCCAUGUAACUUGGGGAGGGUUACUCUACUAGUGUAACUGAAUAUGCCAUAUGACCAAGCCCCUAACAGGGGCUUCUCCCAAUCUCUGCCAGAUCCUGAGGGGACGUGGAGUUCAGACCAAUGAGAAUAUCCAGACCGGGUCUUUCAAAAUGCCCUUGGGGGGGGAAACAGACGUCAGAUGUGAAAAAUAAAUCUCUCUGUUGCCACACAAACAUCUAGGGGUGAGUUGUGUCUUUGUCUUCUUGCCCCUCACCCCCCGUCAUGUGCAGUUUAACACGUAGUGACCUCCAAAGUGACUGGGACUCAGCCAUAGCCUGGCACAGAGCAAAGGAGACAUAACAGCUGGUUUUUGGUCUAGAACCGAAUUAAUAAAGAGCUUGAGCUGGGAAUCGGGGUAAGACCCAGGGUACAGGAUAUCAGAGUUUGGAUUGGUGCGUGGAACCGGACACAGCCUGAAGAGCUGGGAACAGUGUAAAAGCUGGAACGGUGUAAAAACUGGACUUUCGGGAAAAACUGGGACUCACUAGCUAGACAGUGGUAAAACCCCCUUGGCAGACAGCAGAAAGUACUGCGAGGGUUUAAAAACUUGUUUUCUGGACUAAAAUGACAACCAAGACCAUGGGACCUUGGAUAUCAGGACCAGAAAGCACCAUGAUAAAGCUACUUAUUUUCUAAAAUGUAAAAAGAGGAAUUGUUUCCCCUGGGAGAGAGGGAACCCCAGCAUAUGCCGGCAUUAUCCAGGGAACCGGCGGGACAGAUUGCGAAAUCCAAGCACGUACAGAGAUGGCGGCCACCAGAGCCCCGGCUUCUUCGAGAUGCGCUGCGCCCUCCCCAGGCUGCAGUAAUCACUAUGCAGGCACUUCGAGCUACCAUAUCGCUUACCCAGGCGGGCACACCACGCCGCCCUGCUCGGGAGAACAGACCACAUGGUAGGUGUUUCUGGCCCCCCAAAGGGCUGCCAUGCCAUGCAGCCGCUCCGACCCCUCCCAGGAGAGAGCGAAACCCCGUGGCUCUGCCCCACCCCGUCCUUGGCCGGCCCGGCAGCACCCCCAUCCACCCCGCCCCCGAUCCAGCCUCCGGGGAACACGGCCACACCUCCGGAGGGAGCGGCCCCGCCGCCGAGCCUGCCUCCGAAGAAGGCUGCAGAACUCAGAAGCAAAGCGUGGGAGAAGUCUUUGCAGAGGUCCCGCUCGGGAAAAGGCAGUGCAGGGAGACAGGCGAGGGUGUGGUACCGCAGGGGCGGGGACGGUCGACUCUGCCCAAAGAGAUGGAGUCGGACACGCGGGUUGCGUGUCUUACAGCAGCUGAGCUGAAGACACUCUGCCACCCAGACAAGCGAGAACUCAGCAACUGCUUGCAAAUGGAAGGCAAAAAAGCAAACAGACACUAACUUUCCUUCCUUACAAAGCAUUACAACCACGUUACCUCCUGAUAAAUUGAGGUUUUCAUGGUACAAAAACUCUAAUAAAAGACACUGAAAGGUUGCCAUAUGAAAGUUAUGAUAAUGUACAGUUGUUUGUAAAAUAUGCAUUAGAACCCAUGGUACAAUAUUCAUUAUGGAUGUUUGCAUUUGUUAGAACCAAAAUUAACAAGCCCAUGAUCAGUAAGGUAUUAUAUUUCUGCCUCAGACGAUUAAUGCUGUGUAUCAGGGAAGCAUUAGUGUGUGUAUUAUGUAUUUUUUUCAUACUCCUACUAAUUAUUGCUGCAUUGUUUCAGGAAGGAUGGGUAAGAUCCAGGGGAUAUACACUAAGAUACCCAUACCAAAAUUAAUUUGUCAUAGGCAAAUAUCAGUUACAAAGUUCUUCAGCUGAAGUUUUGCCACUUGUCAUAAUUAAAAAAAAAAAAGUCAAUUAUUAAAUCACAAAAUUUCUAGCUUCUAAGAAGGCAAGAAAGGGAGUAUUACCUACACUGUGAUUUUUUUGUUUUUGUUUUUGUUUUGCACUAGAUAUUAAUACAAAUGUGUUUUUAUACAUGGAAUAUCUCCCAACCAAGUCAUUUGCCUGAUCAACCUAUGAACCUGGCUGGUAAAGACUCUUUGAAAAAAAAAAAAAAAAGAAAAAAGUAAAAAAAGUUAACACUUUUUCUUUAGAGACAGGCAUAGAGGUUUAGUCUGGAAGAAGCCCUCUAGGUUUGCUCAUAAUGAAAAAGAGACUUUUCAGCAACAUUCUACCUUAUUAAUACUGUUAAGAAAUG